This 219-nucleotide unclassified non-coding RNA is filed under the name fungal sp. Its description in RNAcentral is "partial internal transcribed spacer region". The stretch from base 1 to 46 matches the Rfam family "Eukaryotic small subunit ribosomal RNA", at positions 1786 to 1831 of the family's 1831-position model. The record is from RNAcentral. Lineage: Eukaryota; Fungi.
AAGUCGUAACAAGGUUUCCGUAGGUGAACCUGCGGAAGGAUCAUUAACACAAGUAAAAAAACAUUUUUACAACACCCUAUUAUGAAUUUAAAUUUUUUAAUUUUAAUUUUUUUUUUAUAAAACUACAAAAAAAUAUUUAAUUUAUUUGACUAACAUUUUUUUAAUUAAUUUAUUUAAAAUUUUAUAAAACAACUCUUAACAACGGAUAUCUUGGCUCUC